UUGGAUACUGUUCUCAGGGCUUCCGAUACUUCUGGCAAGCCCCACAUAUACAUAUACUCCAGGUUUUAGAUAAAAAUGAACCGACGAGUGAAACUCUGAAGGCACUCUAAUGGAAUUUCAUCAAUCCACACAACGUAGCUACACCUGCCAACCGUUCAUCGAGCCACGCCCUACAGAUCGACUUCUAAGAAUCUCAAUCCAACUCAACAAACAAAUUAACCUCUGCUAAGUUCAGCAGUGCCAUCCGGAGAAGUGGUGAUAAAAAAUCAGUUGAACCAUCGAUCAAUCGAUAUGAAAUCCCAAUUCCAGCAAACACUUCAUAAUAUCAUUUCAACAGCCUCAUCUCGACUUCUCAAUCAAAAUCAAUGAUUGCCGUGGUUAUUAAUCAGAAAAAUGGGCGACAGCGAGGGUUUUGCCACAAGUUGGAAAGCACUUGGGCACUAGCCGUGUCCAUCUCUUCAAACACCAAAGGAAGACGCGAAAGAGUAGCAAACCAUCUGUUCAAAAUUAUGAACUAAAAACGAAAGCAAUGGAUGAUGAAAUUGACUUACCUCGGAAGAUGUAGGAGAGUUAUCAGUACAACUACCAACGGUAGUACUCCAGGCCACAUUGCGGCGGCCUGAAAACAAACGAUGCACACACAUGAAAACCACCCCAUUCUACCUCAUCUCCUCCGAUCACAAAUAAAGAGGGUGUCCCGAGUUUAGCUAGGGGUAACAUGGGGGUAUACGUCAGAAUCUGUUUCUUCUUCCAUCAAGUGUUCCGGAUAUCCGAUUGAUGGGAGAUAUAUGAAAUCAUAGCUCGUUUUCCAAUAAAUUGCCAAGCCGUACUAUAUACUAUAUUUCACACACCGAUUGGAUCUGCCUGGCCCCCGCCCAUUCGUUAAAAAUUUCACAUCUACAUAUAUUUUAUUUUUAACUAUAUCUCCUCAACUAAUGAUGUACCUGAAAUUACUGAUGACGCAAUAAAAAUUCACGACUACUACCGCACCAUCAGUGAAUGACGUUGUUCCCCUUUGUUUUCUUCAUAAUUGGUCAUUUUUAUCUUGUAUAACUGGCAUUAUGAUAAUACAUUCAUUAAUUUUCUCAUCGUAAUGUCACUUGAUAUCGAGGAUCACAAAAUCCGAUUAGUCCUCUCGAUCAAUUAUCAGAGCCGCAAGGGCUUUGUAAAAGAGAAAGACCAGUAACUCCCUAACGUUGUAAGAUCAUCAGGUGUCUCAUU
Long non-coding RNA from Fopius arisanus, 1221 nucleotides. RefSeq lists it as uncharacterized. The transcript is spliced from 4 exons. NCBI's taxonomy places the organism in Eukaryota, Metazoa, Arthropoda, Insecta, Hymenoptera, Braconidae. The record is from RefSeq and is a predicted model, not a curated record.